RNAcentral lists this ribosomal RNA (788 nucleotides) under uncultured bacterium. Its description in RNAcentral is "bacterial SSU rRNA". It matches the Rfam family "Bacterial small subunit ribosomal RNA", at positions 8 to 796 of the family's 1533-position model. The record is from RNAcentral.
AGAGUUUGAUCCUGGCUCAGAACAAACGCUGGCGGCGUGCCUAACACAUGCAAGUCGUACGAGAAAGGGUCCUUCGGGAUCUGAGUAAAGUGGCGCACGGGUGAGUAACGCGUGGAUAAUCUGCCCCUCAGUCGGGAAUAACUCAUCGAAAGGUGGGCUAAUACCCGAUAAUGCUGCAUCCACCUCGGUGGAUCAGCCAAAGAGAGCCUCUGUUUACAUGCCCUCACUGAAGGAUGAGUCCGCGUACCAUUAGCUAGUUGGUGAGGUAAGCGCCCACCAAGGCGAAGAUCGGUAGCUGAUCUGAGAGGAUGAUCAGCCAGACGGGGACUGAGAUACGGCCCUGACUCCUACGGGAGGCAGCAGCAAGGAAUUUUGGGCAAUGGGCGAAAGCCUGACCCAGCAACGCCGCGUGGGGGAAGAAAGCCUUCGGGUUGUAAACCCCUUUUGUCGGGGAAGAAUGAUGACGGUACCCGGCGAAUAAGCCUCGGCUAACUACGUGCCAGCAGCCGCGGUAAGACGUAGGAGGCGAGCGUUAUCCGGAAUUACUGGGCGUAAAGAGCGCGCGGGCGGCUGGCUAAGUCAGGUGUGAAAUCUCUCGGCUCAACCGAGAGGGGACAUCUGAUACUGGCUGGCUUGAGGGCAGUAGAGGGAGAUGGAAUUCCCGGUGUAGUGGUGAAAUGCGUAGAUAUCGGGAGGAACACCUGUGGCGAAGGCGGUCUCCUGGGCUGUUCCUGACGCUGAGGCGCGAAAGUGUGGGUAGCAAACAGGAUUAGAUACCCUGGUAGUCC